AAAAUGUUAAAUCUUCUGACUCACUGAGUUAUCAUUAUUCAGUUUUUCUACCCAAUUAUGGCAUUUCAGCUGAGACUCUCUCUCUCUCUCUAAAGAUAUGGCUUUUUACUUAAGAAAACUGCACUCUCUACACUUCGAUUGCAUUCACAGAAACCUGUGAUUCGUUAAUGUUAUCAUGGCGUGGAUUUCAUAUCGAACCUGGAACUCGUGAGAUUCUCAAAACUUCAUAUGUAGCAUCUGAACAUAUAUUUGCUGCACGAUUCUUCUGGGUGGUGACAUAUCAAAGGAUAGUCCAUCCACAGGUCCUUUCCACCCAGAUGAUCAUACAAAUUAGCUCUUAGCUGAGGAUCCAGCACUAAAGCGCUUCAAAUCACAUAAGACAAGCGUUCGGCGAUUAAAAGUAGUAGGAGAUGCUCUUACAGUGCUAGUUGUAGCUGGUAUGCCAAUCUCUUCACCACAAAUUAUAAUUGAUUCUAUCAACUUUAUAUUUGCUCAAUGACUAACAGGGGUGCAAUACAAAACCUAGUGGGGUGUCAUGUGAUCAUUUUUGUUUAGCUAAUUUCUGUUUAUUGCUAAUAGACCUGCAACACAUAAAACCUAAGAGCUGUGGGGUAAAAGAGCCAUAAAAUGCAUUGUGGAUGUUGGGAAUUGGGAUGACCUAUAUUCUUUGAGUUGGUAUAAGAAUAAUCUGAUUAUUCACUUGAUUUAUUGACUGGUGAUCUAUUGACUGGUUAGUUAGGAAAUCAAGAAUGACAAUAAUGAACAGUUCAUAUAAUCUCUGCAUAUGUUAGUAAAGGUUCAUAUCACCACUUAGGGCUUGUAUCUGAUUGUUUAUUCUGGACGGUGACAUUUAGAGAGACUUUCUUUGCUGGAAUCUUAGGUGAUGUAGAAAUACAUUGUCUGUUAUAUAAGUCUGUCACAAAUAAAUUCAACUUCUCUUCUCUUCCAUGCAAUCUUGUUUCACUGGGAUACUUGUCUUUUACUCUAUUCUAUCAAGGAUUAAUCCCGCUGUUACUUGUAUUGCUCGUCUCCCUUAUUACCAUUAGGUCAUGGCUGAAGUGAAACGUGAAUACUGGGUCACACAUCUGAUAGUUGAAUAUAUCUGUGGAAGGCCAAGAGCUUCUAUGUCUUGCACUGUCCUGUCCAGUUUCUGCAACAGUCGGACUUCUGUUCUGUUGUGUUCUAUCAUGUUUGAGAAUGAUGUUUCAUAUUACUUUCCCAAGAGGCACAAUUGUGUCUCUAGUCGCACCUUCAAAUGACAUUUUGGAAUUUUUUUUUCAUUUUUGGGGUUCGUGACGAGGCAUAGAUUUGACUGAUAGAUUACUUUCAACUUGUUUACUAUGUGAAUGAACAUGAUAUACUUUUUAGGACUGGUUUGUUUGCAGUAUUUGUUAGGAUUGGACAGUAAAAUUGACAAAAUUCAACCUUUUCUUCUCUGCUACUGUUCCUAACUGUACAAUCAACUCUACCAAAGAAGCCAUUAAGGUCAAAUUUCUCGUUAUUAAUAAACUGGUUUCUACCUUGCUAUCCUUCACCUUUGUUACAGGAUGCUGCUACGAGAUUUAUAUUAAAGCGGAAAUUCGAGAAGAAGCCUGUAAUCAAGCGAAAGAGAGUGCAUAACUUUGGAAGCCCCAACAUUAACACCGUUUUCCAUCCUCUAAAGAGGGGGAUAGAUUUUUCGCCUAUAGGUGUUCCACGCUGUCAUGCAAAAUAUUAACUGAGCAAGGGAAAUGGACAUUAUGAUGAUAUGGUACAACAGACAUUUUUCCGGGACCCUAAUGAUUGACGGACACAGAGACUUUGAGUUAGUGGGACACGAUCAAAUUGUUUAUCUUAAUAUGGUCAACCUUGUUAAGAGGAGUAGUUUAAGAUCUUUUUAAAUUGGUCAAUAUUUCGGUAUUUAACCGAUGUGAAAUUUUUAUCCCGUGAAUCAGCCGAAAAAAGAGGACCAGAUUCUACAGCAGAAUUAUGCACAUCAGCACCUACCUAUACUGCCAAGAAAAGAGGUUCAGAUUAGGAUAAGAUUCUAGUACAGAAUUAUCUCAACUUUCUUUUGAAUUAGAGUGGAAUAUUGUAACAAUAUAUGCUAGUCAGUCUCCUAAGGUAACUCAGUUCAGUUGGUGUAAAUGUCUAUAUAAACUUAUUCAAUGCAUACGUUUGGGAUUAAGCCAAACAAUUCAAAGUC
This is a long non-coding RNA of Olea europaea var. sylvestris, 2185 nucleotides long. RefSeq lists it as uncharacterized. Lineage: Eukaryota; Viridiplantae; Streptophyta; Magnoliopsida; Lamiales; Oleaceae. The record is from RefSeq and is a predicted model, not a curated record. The transcript is spliced from 4 exons.